Molecule: long non-coding RNA, 250 nt
Filed under: Elaeis guineensis (African oil palm)
Lineage: Eukaryota; Viridiplantae; Streptophyta; Magnoliopsida; Arecales; Arecaceae
Description: long non-coding RNA (EGUI_LNC056499)
Source: RNAcentral
GGCCAGGAAGCAUUCAUCAAGGAGUUCGAGCUCUGUCAGGAGAAGGUGGCCAGGAAAAUUUUCAAGCUCGACCUCAGCUUCUUGGGUGAGGAGUCUGAAGAUGAGGCUGGUCCCUCUCCUGCUGCCACUGCUGCGGCAGCCCCCCUUCCAGGGACACCGAGCUCCCCAACUCCCACUGCAGAGGUCUGAGACCUCCGACUUUGUAUUUUUCUUUUACUGUAAUUUUUCCUUUUUCUUUUUGUAUUUAAGA